RNAcentral lists this ribosomal RNA (492 nucleotides) under uncultured bacterium. RNAcentral's name for it is "partial 16S ribosomal RNA". It matches the Rfam family "Bacterial small subunit ribosomal RNA", at positions 29 to 507 of the family's 1533-position model. The record is from RNAcentral.
AGUGAACGCUGGCGAUAGGCCUAACACAUGCAAGUCGAACGGCAGCACAGUAAGAGCUUGCUCUUACGGGUGGCGAGUGGCGGACGGGUGAGGAAUACAUCGGAAUCUACUUUUUCGUGGGGGAUAACGUAGGGAAACUUACGCUAAUACCGCAUACGACCUACGGGUGAAAGCAGGGGAUCUUCGGACCUUGCGCGAUUGAAUGAGCCGAUGUCGGAUUAGCUAGUUGGCGGGGUAAAGGCCCACCAAGGCGACGAUCCGUAGCUGGUCUGAGAGGAUGAUCAGCCACACUGGAACUGAGACACGGUCCAGACUCCUACGGGAGGCAGCAGUGGGGAAUAUUGGACAAUGGGCGCAAGCCUGAUCCAGCCAUACCGCGUGGGUGAAGAAGGCCUUCGGGUUGUAAAGCCCUUUUAUUGGGAAAGAAAAGCAGCAGGUUAAUACCCCGCUGUUCUGACGGUACCCAAAGAAUAAGCACCGGCUAACUUCGUG